Acanthosepion pharaonis is the source of this 105-nucleotide non-coding RNA. The record is from the annotation of a GenBank genome assembly. NCBI's taxonomy places the organism in Eukaryota, Metazoa, Mollusca, Cephalopoda, Sepiida, Sepiidae.
GGCUACAUCAUGUUGAAACACCAGUUCCCAUAAAAUCACCAAAGUUAAGCAAAAUCGAGCCUGGUCAGUACCUUAAUGGGUGAUCAUUUGGAAAUGCCAGGUGCC